RNAcentral lists this ribosomal RNA (497 nucleotides) under uncultured bacterium. RNAcentral describes it as "partial 16S ribosomal RNA". It matches the Rfam family "Bacterial small subunit ribosomal RNA", at positions 28 to 507 of the family's 1533-position model. The record is from RNAcentral.
GAUGAACGCUGGCGGCGUGCCUAAUACAUGCAAGUCGAGCGAACAGACGAGGAGCUUGCUCCUCUGACGUUAGCGGCGGACGGGUGAGUAACACGUGGAUAACCUACCUAUAAGACUGGGAUAACUUCGGGAAACCGGAGCUAAUACCGGAUAAUAUAUUGAACCGCAUGGUUCAAUAGUGAAAGACGGUUUUGCUGUCACUUAUAGAUGUAUCCGCGCCGCAUUAGCUAGUUGGUAAGGUAACGGCUUACCAAGGCAACGAUGCGUAGCCGACCUGAGAGGGUGAUCGGCCACACUGGAACUGAGACACGGUCCAGACUCCUACGGGAGGCAGCAGGAGGGAAUCUUCCGCAAUGGGCGGAAACUUGACGGAGCAGCGCCGCGUGAGUGAUGAAGGUCUUCGGAUCGUAAAACUCUGUUAUUAGAGAAGAACAAAUGUGUAAGUAACUAUGCACGUCUUGACGGUACCUGAUCAGAAAGCCACGGCUAACUACGUG